Molecule: ribosomal RNA, 1139 nt
Filed under: Salmonella enterica subsp. enterica
Lineage: Bacteria; Pseudomonadati; Pseudomonadota; Gammaproteobacteria; Enterobacterales; Enterobacteriaceae
Description: partial 23S ribosomal RNA
Rfam family: Bacterial large subunit ribosomal RNA
Source: RNAcentral
AAGCCAGUGGUGAACUCCACAUACGCAUCCUUUGCUGAGGAUACGGUUAACGGAGCGAAAGCGACGUUCAACCUCAAAAGAAGCAGAGGGGGCUUAGUGGUGGGGUGACUGCGUACCUUUUGUAUAAUGGGUCAGCGACUUAUAUUCUGUAGCAAGGUUAACCGAAUAGGGGAGCCGGAGGGAAACCGAGUCUUAAUUGGGCGUUAAGUUGCAGGGUAUAGACCCGAAACCCGGUGAUCUAGCCAUGGGCAGGUUGAAGGUUGGGUAACACUAACUGGAGGACCGAACCGACUAAUGUUGAAAAAUUAGCGGAUGACCUGUGGCUGGGGGUGAAAGGCCAAUCAAACCGGGAGAUAGCUGGUUCUCCCCGAAAGCUAUUUAGGUAGCGCCUCGUGAAUUCAUCUCCGGGGGUAGAGCACUGUUUCGGCUAGGGGGUCAUCCCGACUUACCAACCCGAUGCAAACUGCGAAUACCGGAGAAUGUUAUCACGGGAGACACACGGCGGGUGCUAACGUCCGUCGUGAAGAGGGAAACAACCCAGACCGCCAGCUAAGGUCCCAAAGUCAUGGUUAAGUGGGAAACGAUGUGGGAAGGCCCAGACAGCCAGGAUGUUGGCUUAGAAGCAGCCAUCAUUUAAAGAAAGCGUAAUAGCUCACUGGUCGAGUCGGCCUGCGCGGAAGAUGUAACGGGGCUAAACCAUGCACCGAAGCUGCGGCAGCGAACGUAUCACCCAAGACAACUUUGCGGAGUUGACGAUUGACGGAGCGAAGCGACGUCAAAGCGUUCAUUAAAGUCGAGUUGGCUUAGGGAUACGUUCGUUGGGUAGGGGAGCGUUCUGUAAGCCUGUGAAGGUGUGUCGUGAGGCAUGCUGGAGGUAUCAGAAGUGCGAAUGCUGACAUAAGUAACGAUAAAGCGGGUGAAAAGCCCGCUCGCCGGAAGACCAAGGGUUCCUGUCCAACGUUAAUCGGGGCAGGGUGAGUCGACCCCUAAGGCGAGGCCGAAAGGCGUAGUCGAUGGGAAACGGGUUAAUAUUCCCGUACUUGGUGUUACUGCGAAGGGGGGACGGAGAAGGCUAUGUUGGCCGGGCGACGGUUGUCCCGGUUUAAGCGUGUAGGCUGGUUUUCCAGGCAAAUCCGGAA